This 123-nucleotide ribosomal RNA is filed under the name Bacillus mojavensis. Lineage: Bacteria; Bacillati; Bacillota; Bacilli; Caryophanales; Bacillaceae. The record is from RNAcentral.
AUUGUUUGGUGGCGAUAGCGAAGAGGUCACACCCGUUCCCAUGCCGAACACGGAAGUUAAGCUCUUCAGCGCCGAUGGUAGUCGGGGGUUUCCCCCUGUGAGAGUAGGACGCCGCCAAGCUGU